This 465-nucleotide ribosomal RNA is filed under the name uncultured bacterium. RNAcentral's name for it is "bacterial SSU rRNA". It matches the Rfam family "Bacterial small subunit ribosomal RNA", at positions 335 to 792 of the family's 1533-position model. The record is from RNAcentral.
ACUCCUACGGGAGGCAGCAGUGGGGAAUAUUGCACAAUGGGCGCAAGCCUGAUGCAGCCAUGCCGCGUGUAUGAAGAAGGCCUUCGGGUUGUAAAGUACUUUCAGCAGUGAGGAAGGUGGAGUCGUUAAUAGCGGCCUCAUUUGACGUUAGCUGCAGAAGAAGCACCGGCUAACUCCGUGCCAGCAGCCGCGGUAAUACGGAGGGUGCGAGCGUUAAUCGGAAUUACUGGGCGUAAAGCGCAUGCAGGCGGCCUGUUAAGUCAGAUGUGAAAGCCCGGGGCUUAACCUCGGAAUUGCAUUUGAAACUGGCAGGCUAGAGUCUUGUAGAGGGGGGUAGAAUUUCAGGUGUAGCGGUGAAAUGCGUAGAGAUCUGAAGGAAUACCAGUGGCGAAGGCGGCCCCCUGGACAAAGACUGACGCUCAGAUGCGAAAGCGUGGGGAGCAAACAGGAUUAGAUACCCUGGUA